This 68-nucleotide small RNA is filed under the name Gordonia rhizosphera NBRC 16068. Its description in RNAcentral is "ASdes TB sRNA". It matches the Rfam family "ASdes TB sRNA". The record is from Rfam by way of RNAcentral. Lineage: Bacteria; Bacillati; Actinomycetota; Actinomycetes; Mycobacteriales; Gordoniaceae.
AGCGCCACGGGAUCGACACCACGGGUGACGACCAGGUAGUCGCGCAUCACGAUGCCGUGGCGGUUCUC